This is a long non-coding RNA of Manis javanica (Malayan pangolin), 4945 nucleotides long. RefSeq lists it as uncharacterized. The record is from RefSeq and is a predicted model, not a curated record. NCBI's taxonomy places the organism in Eukaryota, Metazoa, Chordata, Mammalia, Pholidota, Manidae.
UGUACCCGGCAGUGGCAUGUGAACCAACUCUAGCCCCUCUCCGCUGUGGUCCAGGAGCCCCGCAAGAGCACUGAUUUGGGCAACCACCCACAGAGGAGAGAGCCUUCAUGGGAGUCCAGGAAUCCAGUGGAGAAUUCCAGAACACAUUGGAGGAAAAAAACCCAAACAUUUGGACUCCUUGGAGAAGAUCAGCAAGUUCAGAACACUUGAUUGGAGGCCUUGGAGGUGAGAAAAGGCGAUGAACCCAAGCAGCUCUGGGGCUGGGGCAGUUGUACAUCAACUUGACAGGUGAUAUUGGUGAUGCUGGUCUGAGGACCACACUCCAUGUGGAGAGGCUCCAAUCAACUGAGGGCUAACAAAAUGCAGACUAGCAUGAUUCCAGUUGGACCUACUACUUCUACUAAUUCACUGAAAGUGUAAAAAUGCAGCUUUUGACCUAAAGAACUGAUUACAAACAUGAAAUUCUGACUAAACAACGUGCUCUGCAAUCAUUCAUUCAUACUUCCCAGCUAGAACAGGUGGAUCUCACCUGGAGGAAGUACUCUCUCUGUCGGGGCAUUCAGAUGUGUACAGAAGGUAUUGGUUGCCAUGAUAACACUGCAACCCUACUGCUCUUUGGUGCCUGGAGGCCCAGGAUGCUUGAUUUCUGAAAAUGUGUGGGAGAGUUCUAAGCAAAGCAGUGUCUCAUCCAGAAUACCAAGAGAGCCCCCUUGAAGAUACCUGACUGACACCAGUGGAGACACAUGUUGCCCCAAACCCAAAGCCUCAGUCAAUGUUUGAAACAUCCUUUUGAAUUUCUUUGAAUGUCUUUUUGAAUUUAUAGUCUGGAACUAUAUCAUGGGAACUAUCCAUGUGUGUUAGUUCAUCAUUUUAGAAUUUUGGCUGCCUUUGGAAUUUUCCAGUGGGAAGAGAGGCCCUUCUGUCUAGUGCACCAUGUGUGGUACCAAAGCUUGACAGUCAUGGCCAUUUGCUCAGCAGAGGAUGAGCUCAAUAGGAAAGACUUCAGAAAGUCUUUUUUCUAAAGUCUGGAUUUAUCAACAGUCUCAAUGAAAAAAUCAGAGAAGGAAGUUUCAGAUGUCCCCUUUGAGGUGAUACUCUGCAGUGCUCUGAUGGCACUCAUCUUACUCCCAAAACAGUGCAAACAUAAGCAAUUUCAAGGCUUCUGGGGUUAGCAAACUCCACCGCAUUCUCCUUCCAUAAAAGGAGAGCCCCACAGUCUUAGAUUUGCCAGCCACAGAAAGCUUUCCUGAGGUCAAACAGAUUCUGAUCUCUGAUCCCAUUUAGUAUCAAAUGUUACAAUGAGCAUAUUAGAGAUCUUGUGGUAACUCAGUUGAGGUGAGAAAUAAAACAGGGAAAUAAAGGAGUGAUAAAGGGUAGUGUUAGAAAAGAAUGGUGCAGCAAGAGACUCAUGAAAAUAAGAAAACCCAAAUGAACUUGGUGUGGUAGAAAAGCGGCCUUCACAACUAUUAGUUCAGAGACUAGUUUAAAAAAAAAGAUGGUACAAUAGAUAUUGUGAUAAGAAUAUUCAAUACAACAUAAGGAAAAUAUUGUACUUGAACUUCCAUAUUAAGUUUGAGAGUUGGGAAACUCCUGAAAGGGUUUGACAGGGUCACUGUGAUUCUGCCUGGGAAAGAUUUGCUCAUCCUGGCUUAGUCUUGGGGACUGUUAGGAAGAUGGGAAAAGUCUCCAGCUCCCCAGGGAAGCAGUUUCAUGCCAAGCCUCCAGGUCUAUCCUUAGCACAGUGCAGUGCCCUGAAGGAGACACGAUUAUUGGUUGCUACAUUCCAGCAACUCUAAGACAGGUACAACAUUAAUCUGAUUUUUAAAAAUUUAUUUUAUAAGUAAAGUAAUGCAUACAUAACACUCAUAAUCAUCUGUACAUAAGAGAAUGUUAAUUCUGGAGGGGCUGAACAUUUCCCUAACACUUCCUGGAGUGCUGGAAAGCGGGGCAAUUGUUCAGGACCACCAGGCACAAAAAUGCUUUCUUUCUCCAGAUGAGAGUUGUCUGACCUGAUGUUGCAUUUGUUUCUGGAACUACGAGCUCUCUAUGUUGGUGAAUGUUCCCUUAAAAUGGUUCUUGGAAGUUCUUCUGAAACAGUGCUUUAGAAGAGUUAGCAAGAAUUUGGCAGAAUUCCUCUUGCAGGAAGAGGGUCACCGGCAACUGGGAGCCCUGGAAGGAACUGUGGGCAGAAGAAAGCCAGGCAGAGGAGAUUGUGUCUACUUUGCUCUCCUUUGAUGCUCUCUUCUGUUAAGUUCUGUACCUCUGCUACAGCGAGUGUGUGUGAAUGUGCACAUGGGCGUGUACACUUCCUAUCAACCUGUAACCUAUCUGCACUGAUGCUUCUCACAAUUUGAAUGUGCAGAGAAAACGUCAUUUCUUAUUUUGUUUACAUAAUAUCUUGCCUUCCUCAAGUACUUCUAUUACCAGCAAGAAAGCAAAGCAAACAAACCAACAGAACCCAACGCGAUGGCCCAUCUGGUUUAAAUCUUAGAUGCACACAAUUCUUUAAGCAGUCCCUGCCACUGCCCAGUUCCCAUCUGCCUUGGGCACAGUGGUCUUCCUCUGGGUCCCAGUGAUUUCCUUGGCUGCCUGGAUGCUGGGCUCCCUGCAGGCUUCUGAGCUGAGACCGAGGAAUAGUGGAUUCAUGGUGGGACCUCAAGGUUCAGGAACCAACCCUGUGAAUCAUGACUCCUGAUUUUUCUCCCCCGAGCUUCUUUUCCAUCUCACUGGCUGAGACCCAUAUAAAAGCCCACAGUCCUUAGUCCUCCAUGCAACCCCUCUGGACUCUCUGCAGCCUGUCCUCACCCCCCACAGACUUAGGGCCAGCCCAGUGGUUCUCAGCUCAGGACCAUGCUGGUGGGGAUUGGAAAACUCUGGCUGACCACUCUGCUCGCUGCUCUUAAGUAGGCCUGGAUCCCCUAUGUUGGCUCAGGGGACCCCACUUAGCAGCUUCUUGGAAAGCCCAUGCAUUCUGUACCUCUUCCUGCUGGAACUUCAUGAGGGAUGCUCAGCACCUGCAUCAGGCUGACCACCUGGCCAGACCCUUCUUGCUCUUCAUCCACCUGCAUCCUUCCAGGGGGAGAAAUAAAGUUUCCUUUAACAUCUCUAUGAGAGCUGCUUUCUACCAGACUAAAGCAAAUCCCAUGUCCAAAAGAGACAAAUGGAAAAACUCUAUUCUCUUUUCAAUUUAGGAGGUGGUUUAAGCUGCAAGUCAGGUCUAGGCCAUUUAAAUGGCAAGUAAAGGAACAGACCAAAUCCACACAGCCUGAAUUUCAGGUCUAGCAUCUUGCCAUAGAGGCUCUCUGCCCAAUAAGCCUCUUUCUUGGCUCUAUGUUGAGAUGAGUGAUAUUGGAAUGAAAUAUGGCUUAAGGAUAAAAAACAUUGGUUUUAUAUUUGUAAAAUGUUGUUUUCAUUAUAACUGUUUCAUAAGGUCUUGUGGGGGAAAAGGAGACCAAGCAACAGUGAAAUAUGCAAUCCAGGAGCUAUAAUGGAUAAAGAGAACCAUUGAUAAGAAUAGGCUUUCCAAAUCAUAAAUGAGGUGUUAAUCAUAUUUUGAGUAUUACCUUUAUGUUUGAAUAUGCCUAUACAACUAGAAUGCUUGUUGUUACUUGUACAUAAAUUUGUAUUUUCCAGUAAUUCUCCAUUUUCUUUUCAACCUCCACAACUAAUUUAUGUCAGUCCUCAAAAAAGAAAAUGAGUGCUUGAAUGUCAGGGCGUGUGACUUGCAUUCUAGGACAUACAGUAACUUCCGGGGCACUGAGUCAGCAAUCUAAUGGUUUAGUUUUCCUACUCCUGACAGCUGUUUACUUCUUUCACCGUAAUUUCAGAGAAAAAUAUCCAGAAGGGAUUUGCUGCCCUAGAUCUAUCAGAAAACAUAUUUAAGAUAUUCUGCAGUCUAAUAAGACAAAUAUCUAACAAUAAAUAAUCAUAUCAUAAAAGGGUUACAAUUUCAAUAAUACUAAAGGCAUUUAAAGCACACAACUGAUCCUUUGUAGAGAUUUAAUGAGACCAUGCAUGGGAGCAGUAGAAGCUGAGAAAUGUUUCCGGUGCUAUUUUAAGGCUAUUGUGGAACAAUAGUUCGAAAGAAACUUUCAAGAUCAUCUGAUUCAGAUUCCUGCUUUGAACACCUAGAAAAGCUUACUCAUUGACUUCUGGCAGAUGAAUAGGGCUGCUCAAAGAUCAGAAAGCCUUGGGAUCAGUCAGUGUUUGGAAAAGAAGCCAAGGUCAAAAGUUCUGAUUGAAGUCAGGGGCCAGGGCAACAGACCGAAUUGGGACCUCAAGGUAAAAAUCAAUCCCUGGAGAGGAAGGCCAGAGCAGAUAGGCUUCCGGAAGCCAGGGGCUCUGGCAGGCAGGAGAGAGCACGGGCAGUCGCAGUCUGCAUCUACGUGAUAACUCUCACUGGUCUCCUGAUGCCAAUUUUGCCCCCAUAAAUGCUUCAGACUUAAAGAACUACUAAGAAGAUAACAAAAAUAAAAACAGAAAAAUCAACAAAAGAAUAAAAAUGAUGCAUUAGAAAAUAUCUACUUACUACAAAAGAAGGCAGUAGAGGAGGAAGAGAGGAACAGAACAUACAGGGACGUAUUGAGAACAAAUAUCCAAAUGGCAGAGAGAGUUCCAAGUAAAUAAAAGUAAUAAAUGUGAAUGUAUUAAGCACUCCAGUAAAAAAAAUAUUAGACUGGAUUUGAAAACCAAGAUCCAACUGUCAAUAAAAGAUACAGUUUUUAAAAAAUUAUAUGUAACUUUAAUGUUUUCCUUUUUCUAAGGAUAUAUUUGGGAAGCAUUUUUAAUACUAUUUAUACACAUCUUGAAAUGGAACAGUAGGAGCUCAAAAUUUUAGGUCAGGAACAAUUAAGGAAUGACUUUAUGUGUAACAAUCAUAGUGAUAAUGAGAGUAGAUUCACUGCAUUCAUGGAUUUUUUUUUUGGUAUACUUAAUCUACAAUUAC